RNAcentral lists this ribosomal RNA (468 nucleotides) under uncultured bacterium. RNAcentral's name for it is "partial 16S ribosomal RNA". It matches the Rfam family "Bacterial small subunit ribosomal RNA", at positions 28 to 507 of the family's 1533-position model. The record is from RNAcentral.
GACGAACGCUGGCGGCGUGCUUAACACAUGCAAGUCGAACGGAAAGGCCCUGCUUUUGUGGGGUGCUCGAGUGGCGAACGGGUGAGUAACACGUGAGUAACCUGCCCUUGACUUUGGGAUAACUUCAGGAAACUGGGGCUAAUACCGGAUAGGAGCUCCUGCUGCAUGGUGGGGGUUGGAAAGUUUCGGCGGUUGGGGAUGGACUCGCGGCUUAUCAGCUUGUUGGUGGAGUAGUGGCUUACCAAGGCUUUGACGGGUAGCCGGCCUGGGAGGGUGACCGGCCACAUUGGGACUGAGAUACGGCCCAGACUCCUACGGGAGGCAGCAGUGGGGAAUAUUGCACAAUGGGCGGAAGCCUGAUGCAGCAACGCCGCGUGCGGGAUGACGGCCUUCGGGUUGUAAACCGCUUUCGCCUGUGACGAAGCGUGAGUGACGGUAAUGGGUAAAGAAGCACCGGCUAACUACGUG